GACGAACGCUGGCGGCGUGCUUAACACAUGCAAGUCGAACGGAGCGAAUGAAAGCUUGCUUUUAUGAGCUUAGUGGCAAACGGGUGAGUAACACGUAGACAACCUGCCGACAGGAUGGGGACAACAUUCCGAAAGGAAUGCUAAUACCGAAUGAAGCGGAGGAGAGGCAUCUCUCCUCCGUGAAAGAUGGCCUCUGAAUAUGCUAUCACCUGUCGAUGGGUCUGCGUCUGAUUAGCUAGUUGGUGAGGUAACGGCUCACCAAGGCGACGAUCAGUAGCCGGUCUGAGAGGAUGAACGGCCACAUUGGGACUGAGACACGGCCCAGACUCCUACGGGAGGCAGCAGUGGGGAAUCUUCCGCAAUGGGCGCAAGCCUGACGGAGCAACGCCGCGUGAGUGAAGAAGGUCUUCGGAUCGUAAAGCUCUGUUGACGGGGACGAACGUGCGAGAGGUGAAUAAUCUC
Molecule: ribosomal RNA, 462 nt
Filed under: Centipeda dianae
Lineage: Bacteria; Bacillati; Bacillota; Negativicutes; Selenomonadales; Selenomonadaceae
Description: bacterial SSU rRNA
Rfam family: Bacterial small subunit ribosomal RNA
Source: RNAcentral